AUUGAACGCUGGCGGCAGGCCUAACACAUGCAAGUCGAGCGGAUGAAGGGAGCUUGCUCCUGGAUUCAGCGGCGGACGGGUGAGUAAUGCCUAGGAAUCUGCCUGGUAGUGGGGGAUAACGUCAGGAAACGGGCGCUAAUACCGCAUACGUCUUGCGUGAGAAAGUGGGGGAUCUUCGGACCUCACGCUAUCAGAUGAGCCUAGGUCGGAUUAGCUAGUUGGUGGGGUAAAGGCCUACCAAGGCGACGAUCCGUAACUGGUCUGAGAGGAUGAUCAGUCACACUGGAACUGAGACACGGUCCAGACUCCUACGGGAGGCAGCAGUGGGGAAUAUUGGACAAUGGGCGAAAGCCUGAUCCAGCCAUGCCGCGUGUGUGAAGAAGGUCUUCGGAUUGUAAAGCACUUUAAGUUGGGAGGAAGGGCAGUAAGUUAAUACCUUGCUGUUUUGACGUUACCAACAGAAUAAGCACCGGCUAACUUCGUG
RNAcentral lists this ribosomal RNA (484 nucleotides) under uncultured bacterium. RNAcentral's name for it is "partial 16S ribosomal RNA". It matches the Rfam family "Bacterial small subunit ribosomal RNA", at positions 30 to 507 of the family's 1533-position model. The record is from RNAcentral.